This 1039-nucleotide ribosomal RNA is filed under the name uncultured Neocallimastigales. RNAcentral's name for it is "partial large subunit ribosomal RNA". It matches the Rfam family "Eukaryotic large subunit ribosomal RNA", at positions 22 to 647 of the family's 3401-position model. The record is from RNAcentral. Lineage: Eukaryota; Fungi; Neocallimastigomycota; Neocallimastigomycetes; Neocallimastigales.
GUACACGCUGUGACUAGCAUAUCAAUAAGCGGAGGAAAAGAAACUAACAAGGAUUCCCCUAGUAACGGCGAGUGAAGCGGGAAGAGCUCAAAUUUGAAAUCUUAAAGGGUUUCCCUUUACGAAUUGUAGUUUAAAGAAGUGUUUUCUGUUGAGGUUUUGGUAAAAGUUCUUUGGAAUAGGACAUCAUAGAGGGUGAGAAUCCCGUAUUUGACCUUUACUUUCAACUUUGUGAUACACUUUCAAAGAGUCGGAUUGUUUGGGAAUGCAGUCCAAAAUGGGUGGUAAAUUUCAUCUAAAGCUAAAUAUUGGCGAAGAGACCGAUAGCGAACAAGUACCGUGAGGGAAAGAUGAAAAGAACUUUGAAAAGAGAGUUAAACAGUACGUGAAAUUGUCAAAAGGGAAGCGUUUGACACCAGUGUUGUUUUUCUGAAAAUCAAUUAAAGAACUGUUUAUGCUAAGCUGUUUAGACUUUAUCAGCUAAUCUGUUUAGUUUUGAGCUUUUCUUUAAUGCACUUUUCAGUUAACAAGUCAACAUCAAUUUCUUUUGCUGUAAAAAAGCUUGAGGAAGGUGGCUUGAGAUUCGUCUUAAGUGUUUAUAGCCUCUUGCCUAUGCAGUCGGAGAGAUUGAGGUCUGCAGCGUAGAUCCUUCGGGGCUAAAUGCAUUUGUGCUAAGUUAUAGCAUUUUAUAGACAACUUGUUGACUAUGAUUUGCCUUGUAGCUUACUCGCUUAUGUUAUUUUACCUACGCUUAGGGAUGUUGACGAGACUGUCGAUCUCAUCUAUACAUGACCCUGUGCAUAUCAAUAAGCGGAGGAAAAGGUACCUACGCUUAGGAUGUUGACACACGCGCGUGCUUGAUCUAUACAUGACUCUGCGCAUAUCAAUAAGCGGAGGAAAAGGCUGCGGAACUGAACGACCGCUACCUACGCUUAGGAUGUUGACGAGACUGUCGAUCUCAUCUAUACAUGACUCUGCGCAUAUCAAUAAGCGGAGGAAAAGUACUACCUACGCUUAGGAUGUUGACGAGACUGUCGAUCUC